Molecule: long non-coding RNA, 10834 nt
Filed under: Triticum aestivum (bread wheat)
Lineage: Eukaryota; Viridiplantae; Streptophyta; Magnoliopsida; Poales; Poaceae
Description: long non-coding RNA (TAES_LNC027077)
Source: RNAcentral
CGGGCUGCUCGCAACUAGGCUGAAACCACCUGCAUCCGGGCCUUCUGCCAGAUCAUCCGGACAAAGGUCCGGAUCAUCCGGAUGGUGUCCCAGAUCAUCCGGGGUGGUCAACUUAUGUCCAAACGGCUCUAUUCUGGACACUGGUAUAUAUAGCACCUUACCCCUUCGGGAUAAGGUUGAACACUACACACAAACACGCCUCAAGAACACCAGUGCUUUCCCUCUCUUGCUCACACACUAAAUCCCAGAUCCCGGUUUGAUUCUUGAGAGUUUUGAAGAGUUGUUCCAAUCAAAAGAAAGAUCUCCUUCCUCCCCUUCUUGUGACCAAAGCAAAUCGAAGUUUGAGCAAGUCUUGAUACUUUCCCCUCGGAUCUUGUUACUCUUGGAGGUUGCAGACUCCUAGGCGGUAGGAGUCAUUCGGUGAGGAAUCAAUGAUUGUGAUUACCCCCGGAAAGUUUGUGAGGGUUUGGAGACCACCCCAAGGUCUACCACUAGUGGUUGAGAAACGCCUUUGUGGUGUUGUCUCAAAGGGAGAAUAGGGUGAGCCUUCGUGGCGUAGGUGUGCCUUCGUGGUAACAUCCGCCCCUCUAACGGUGACUAGCUUCCCUCCAAGGAAGUGAACAUCAGCACACAUCCUCGUCUCCCGGAGUUGCGGUUAUUCCUAACCCUAACUCUAUACUUGUGGUUACUUGUUGUGAUUGCUCUUACUUACAUCGUAUUGUGCUUGCUCUCUUAUAUGCUUGUGUCAACUGCCUAGUACUUUGUACUUACUAGCAAUUGUUAGGCUCACUUUCAUAUUCCGCUCUAUUGCCUAAAAUUGCUUAGUAAUAAUUAAAAUUUGUAAUUGUACCUGUUCACCCCCCCCCCUCUAGGUCCAUCUCGAUCCUUUCAUUUGGUAUCAGAGCCUCAUGCUCUAUUCUUGUGGCUUAACCUCCCUAGAGCGAGAUGAACCCGGAUGGGACUCCCCUUGUUGUAGAUCCUAAGGAUAAAGGUGUGGCUUCCUCUGAAGUCAAAACCUUUACGUCGGAGGAUCUAGAACGGGCCCUUGCUAAACAAAAAGAGGAGAAUGAUGCUUCUCUUGAGGCCUUGGUCCAAAUGUGAUUAGCCACGUUGUCCAUAGUGCUUGCACCAUUCUCGGGUGGUGCUGCUUUGAGGCCAACUGUGCCUACUCCAUCACUUGGUCAACAACCUCCUAGCAAUGAACACGCCAGUGUUCCUUGGCUUUAUGCAAGACCUCAGGUUGAGAAACCAAGAUAUAACCCUCAAGGCAAACCUCCUUUACUAAGUGCCACUUCCGAUUUUGCCUUGUGGAGAGUUGCUAUGCAGGAUCAUCUUCGACAUGGAAAUGACGAGAUGCUGGAAAUCUUGGAGUAUGGCUAUCAUGUGGUUGAUCCAAAGAACCCCACACCAAGAGAAAUAUAUGACAAGAACCUCAAUGACACUGCUAUCAUGUGCAUAAGGAGAGGCAUGGAUGAAAAGCAAAGGAGACCGUUCAUACACAUCACAAGUGCCAAGGAAUUAUGGGAAAGUAUCAUACGAUCCAAGACUGGCACCUCUACCCUCCGAAGUGCUCAAUAUGAAAUUGCCAAGGGGCAAUUGCAAAAAUUUUGAUGGAGAAAGGUGAAACCCCCAAUCAACUCCAUGAGCGCCUCAUGACACUCACUGCCGAUAUUGAGUCAUGUGAGUGUGACAAGACACAAGAUGGAUUCAACAUGACUAAGAGAUUCCUUGUGGAUAAAUUGCUUCAUGCUCUUGCUCCAUAUCACCAUCAAAUGGUGUGGGACAUAAGACAACACCAUACUUUCAAGGAAAUGACUACAGAUGACAUCAUAUCCACCUUUCAACUAUUUGAAGAGUCAAAGGCUAAUGCCACAAAACAUCUUGCCAUGCAUGGUUCCCCAUCAUCAAAGGUCAAUCUUGCAUUGAAAGCCAAGCAUGUAUGUGAAGAUGAGCAAAGUGAAGAAGAAGAAGAAGAUGAUGAUGAUGAAGAUGGUAAUGAGAUUGAAUCCGACGAGGGCCCGUCAUAUGAAGACAUGGCUCUCUUUGUCAAGAAGUUUACCGCGGGAAAAUUCAAGGGAAGAUUCCAAAAGAAGAAAGCAAGAAAAUGCUACAACUGUGAGGAAACCAACCACUUCUCAAAUGAGUGCCCUUAUGAGAAGAGAGAAGAUAGACCAAGGUUUCCCAAGACCUUUCCGAAGAAGAAGUUGCCAAAUCCUUUGAACUCCAAGCUCAAGAAGAGAGAUGGGAAAGAAAUGGUUGCUCAAGAAGAAUCCGAUCCGGAUGAUGUUAGUGGUGUUGCCUGAGUUUCUCAAGAUUCGCAAAACACAUUGAGGCUAGUCAAUAAGAGUGGUGAAGUUGUCACCUACAACUACAUGAAGGAUUACAAGGGCAACGCCCACAAGUGCCUCAUGGCGAAGGCCGUGCUAGAAGAUGGAGAGGAUCAAGACUCUCCUGACAAGGUCAAGGUAACCCCACGAGCAAACCCUCCUCUUCUCACUCCUCCUAUUUCUAGUGAUGACUAUCUUGAUGCGGAGGAUAGUUAUGAGGAUGAUGAUCUAAAUGAUCCUAUGCUUGCUAAACUUAAUAAAUUCAUGUGCUCCCUCAAAGGAAGGAAGCUCACUAUGUUUCGCAUGCUUAUGGAGAUGGUGAGUAAGCACACCAUCACCAUUAAGGAACUCGAAACCCUCGUCACCGAGGAAAAGGAAAAAUGUGAAAUCCUUGAGCGAAAAGUCCAAUAUGAGGAAACACGAAAUGAUGAACUAUGCUUAAAAAUUGGCUCAAAUAUUGAUAUUCAUACUAAAGAUCUUGCCUCCUUGAAAAAGGCUAUUGGCUCUUGUGAAGAGUUGAUGAAUGAUAAAAGUAAGCUUGUGAAGUCUCAUGCUUCUCUCUCUAAGGAUUGUGAGCUUCUAUCCAUGUCCCUCAAGACUAAGGAAGAAGAGCUCACCCUUCUUACAAAGAGUUUUGAGACGCUCAAACUUACUUAUCUUGAAACUCUAGCUAAGGCCUAUUCAUCUCCCAUUAUAAAUGUUGAUGCUUGUUCUACUAACUCUAGUAGUGAUCUAGCAUCUAUUCUUGAGGAAAAUCGUUUUCUCAAGGCUCAAAUUGAGAAGGGGCUCAUGACAUGUGCUCAAGGGAAAAAGAACCUUAAUGAGGUGUUGAGCCAACGCAAUGAAGUGUUCGCCAAAGAGGGACUCGGGUUUGACCCAAGCACAAGCAAGAAGAAGACAUUCUCUCCAAAGUGCACCACUCCUUUGAAAGAAACUUUUGUACGAGAAGGACACAAGGAGAAAGGUAAGGUUGCUAGUGGGAAGGCCACUAGGGGCAUGCCCACUCCCAACAAGCCAAAAGAGUUCAUGCCUCCAUCCUAUGUACUUCGUAAGACUAAGGAUGGAGAAGUUUAUGCAAAGUUCGUUGGUCCUCGAAAUGCAUUUCGGUUUUAUGCUAUUUGGGUCCCUAAGACCCUUGUGACUAACUUGAGAGGUCCCAUUGCAAGAUGGGUGCCUCUAACCAAGUAAUAAUUGUGUGUAGGUUGCCUUCUCCGGUGGAGUAAAAUGGGUAAUUGAUAGUGGAUGUACCAAUCAUAUGACUGGAGAUAGCAAAUUGCUCUACGAUUUCAUGGAAACUAUUCAACCAUUUAUGAGCAUUAUGUUUGGUGGACGAUCAAAAGGACAGGUACUUGGGUUGGGAAGGUGGCUAUCACAAAUGACAUGUCUCUUGCAAAUGUCAUGCUUGUCCAAUCCCUUAAAUAUCAUUUACUUUCUGUUCGUCAAUUGGCAUCUGUUGGUUAUGAUACACUAUUUGGACUAACGGAUGUGAAAGUCUUUAAGAGAGAUACUCUCAAAGUGGCCUUUGUUGGAGAGUUGGAUGGCAACCUUUACACGGUUGAUUUCUCGAAAGAGAGCACAUUCCAUGCAACUUGUCUAAUGGCCAAGGCCGACAAGGGGUGGCUAUGGCAUCACCGGCUAGCCCAUGUCGGCAUGAGAAAUCUUCAAGAUCUCUUAAAGGGAAAUCACAUCCUUGGAUUAACAAAUGUCUCUUUUGAGAAAGAUCGUGUGUGUAGUGCUUGUAUAGCCGGGAAGCAACAUCAAUCAAAGCACCCACCCAAGAAUAUUGUGUCUACUUCAAGGCCUUUGGAGCUCCUUCAUGUGGAUCUUUUUGGGCCUCCUUCAUGGGAUAGUCUUGGUGGGAAAAAGUAUGGACUUGUCAUUGUUGAUGAUUACUCAAGAUAUACAUGGGUGUUUUUCCUCAAAUCCAAGGACGAGACGAAGAUCACUUUCAUUGACUUUGCCAAGCAAGCACAACGCAAGUUUGACAAAGAAAUCUUGGCAAUAAGAAGUGACAAUGGAUCUGAGUUCAAAAACUACACCUUGGAAGAAUUCCUUAGUGAUGAAGGGAUUGAGCAUCAAUAUUCAGCUCCAUACACUCCUCAGCAGAAUGGUGUAGCCGAAAGGAAGAACCGCACACUUGUGGAGAUGGCAAGGUCAAUGUUGGAUGAAUACAUGUCACCACAUAGUUUUUGGGCCGAAGCUGUCAACACCGCAUGCCAUGCAUCAAACCGGCUCUUCCUCCACACUAUAUUGGAAAAGACUCCAUAUGAGCUUCUAACUGGAAAUAAGCCAAAUGUCAAGUACUUUCGUGUAUUUGGGUGCAAAUGCUUCAUCCUCAACAAAAGAGAACGGUUAGGAAAAUUUCAAUCCAAAACAAUUGAGGGCAUAUUUGUUGGCUAUGGAUCAAACUCGCACGCCUAUAGAGUCUACAACAAAUCCAAUGGAUGUGUUGUAGAAACUUGUGACGUGGUGUUUGAUGAAUUUAAUGGCUCCCAUGGGGAGCAAGUUGAUCUAAGUGAUGUAGGUGAAGAAGAUUCUUCUCAAGACAUUUUGACCAUGGGUGUUGGUGCACUUCUUCCUAUGGAACAAGAACCUCAUGAUGAUGAAGAAGAAGAUGGAAGUCUCACACAUCAUCAAACUACUUCAACAUCCAUACCUCCACAAGCUCCUAUUGUUCAACCAAUACCCUUAGCCCAUGUUGAAGAAGAUGAUCCUCAUGACAAUCUUCAAGAGCAAGAAUAAGAAAAUCCAAUCAUUGAUGAUGAACCUCAACAAAUGCAAUAUGAACAAAAAGAUCUUCCUCCACACAUUAAUGAUCCAUAUGUUGAGGAUGUGGAUGAUGGACAUGAAGUUGAACCUCGUGAAACCCUUACCUCUAUCAUGCCACGAGUGGCCGGUCGUGUUGAUGUUGACAAAAUACUCACCGGCAUAUCGGAAGGUAGGGUCACUCGUAAACAUUUGACCAACUUUUGUGCUCACUUUUCUUUUGUGUCUAGUUUUGAGCCCAUCAAGGUACAAGAUGCAUUGAUGGACAAUGAUUGGCUAGUUGCUAUGCAAGAAGAGUUGAACAGCUUUGAACACAACCAAGCAUGGUCACUAGUCAAGAGGCCACAUACCGAGCACAAUGUCAUUGGAACAAAAUGGAUUUUCAAGAACAAACAAGAUGAGAAUGGUGUGAUCAUCUGAAACAAGGCAAGGUUAGUGGCACAAGGGUACUCACAAGUUGAAGGUUUGGACUUUGGUGAGACCUUUGCCCCCGUUGCCCGUCUUGAAUCCAUUCGCAUCUUACUUGCUUAUGCUGCUUUCAAUGGUUUUACAUUACAUCAAAUGGAUGUGAAGAGUGCUUUCCUUAACGGCCCUCUACAAGAAGAAGUAUAUGUAUCACAACCACCUGGGUUCGUUGAUCCCGAUCACAAAGACUAUGUGUAUAAACUUCAUAAGGCUUUGUAUGGCCUCAAACAAGCACCUCGUGCUUGGUAUGAUCAUCUUAAGAAGUUUUUACUCGACGAUGGUUUUGUGAGAGGGGUGAUCGAUCCCACUCUUUUUACUAAGAGGGAUAAGGGUGAUUUGAUCUUAUGCCAAAUCUAUGUAGAUGAUAUCAUUUUUGGUUCUCCUAACAUUCAUUUGUGCAAGAAGUUUGCGGACUCAAUGACCAAGAAUUUUGAAAUGUCACUCAAUGCGGAUUUGAAGUUCUUCCUCGGAUUUCAAAUUCAACAAUUUCAAGAAGGAAUUUUCUUGUCUCAAGGAAAAUACCUCAAGGAUAUCUUAGAGAAGUUUGGGAUGUCUGAUGCUAGUCCAUGUAAGACACCAAUGCCAACCAAAAUAACUCUCACUAAAGACACGAACGGUAUCCCUUUCGACCCAUCUAAAUACCGCUCUAUGAUUGGUUCAUUGCUUUAUCUUUGUGCAUCUAGACCAGACAUCAUGUUUAGUGUAUGCAUGUGUGCUAGAUUUCAAGCUUCCCCUAGGGAAAGUCAUCAUAAGGUGGUUAAGCAUAUUCUUAGAUACCUUGUUCACACCCCAAAGUUGGGUCUAUGGUAUCCCAAGGAUGCUAAGUUUGAUCUCACUGGGUACACGGAUGCGGAUUGGGCCGGAGACAAAGUGGAUCGUAAGUCCACUUCCGGUGCAUGUCAGUUUCUUGGACGCUCCUUGGUAAGUUGGUCAUCGAAGAAACAAAACUGUAUUGCCCUCUCUACCGCAGAAGCUGAAUACAUUGCUGCCGCAAGUUGUGCAACUCAGUUAUUAUGGAUGAGGCAAACUUUAAAGGAUUACGGUAUCACCUAUAGAAAUGUGCCUCUUCUAUGCGAUAAUGAAAGUGCCAUCAACAUUGCUGAAAACCCCAAGGAUCAUCUCCGCACCAAGCACAUUGAUAUUAGGUAUCACUUCUUGAGAGAUCAUGUUGAGAAGGGUGAUAUUCACAUUGAUCACAUUGGUACAGAUUUGCAACUGGCAGAUAUUUUCACCAAACCAUUGGAUGAAGCAAGGUUUUGUCGACUUAGGCAUGAACUUGGUAUCUUGGAGCUUGACAACAUUAUGUGAAAUCUCGUACUCAUGCAUGGAUCUUCAUAAUGUCUUGUCUUGAUGUAGGCAUAUACUUAGGGGGAGACAUUCAAUUUAUGAGUACUCUCUCCCUUACAUAAUGCAUAAAUAGAACCAACACUCUCAAAGUCACUAUGGCACUUACUUUGUGUCCAUAGUACUUUAAAAUGAUGGAGUAAUAACCAAGGGCCCAAAAGUUCAAAUUUUUGGUUUCCAAAGUUAUAUAUACUCAUACAUGGUGACUUAGCCUAAUUAUUCUUUUGGGUGUUUAUAUGGUUGAGAUAUUGUUGUGACUAAGCUACUUAUAUAUAUAUAUAUAUCUCUAUAACAAACACACACAAAAAAUAUAUAUAUAUAUAUAUAUAUAUAUAUCGUCAUCACCCCAUCGCCUCAGAAUCAUAUCUCAGAAAUCUGGCCAGCCGGAUCAUCCGGACUUACAUCCGGACGUCCGGGCUGUGUCUGCCCGGAUAUCCGGGUUCACUUCCGGACAUCUGGCCUUGCCCGGAUCAUCCGGGGCGCCUUCCGGACAUCCGGGUGGGUCUUCGACUUAUCCAAUAGCUAUCGGGCUGAGGGGGAGGGGGGCACAGGGAGUUAUCCUAUUUCAGUUUCCCCUCGCCCUCAUCCGUCUCAUCCCGCCAGCGGCUACUGCUCUGCGGCUCGCCCCGCCAGUCCGGCCGGCCAACUCGGCGGAUCUCGGGAACACGGGCCGCCGCCACCUUGAUCUACUCCCUCCUCCCGCCGUUUUCCCCAGGGGUCGACGGGAUUCUCUCAAAUCUCAGCCUCCGUCCCCAACUCAGCCAUGGUGGUCGGACGUGGUGGCACUGGCCGGAGCUUCAAAUCGACCACCUCGGGCCCCUCUCGUGGUAUCUCGUCUGCGCCCUUCCCUCGUUUUUCCUCUUGUACUCAUCUAGGGUCAGUUACUCAUCGAGCUCGCGAUUUCUUUUUGUUUUGUUGUUGUUCUUUUCGCUCCAAUGCGUAUGCCUAGAACCACGACGCCAAGCAUCAACGGACUCUGAGGAAGCUGCUCGUCCACUCAAGAAAGCACCAGGUCAUGCUCGUCCGUCCUAUGCCGGGCAGGACGAUCCUGAUUAUGAGGACGAUCUCCAGGAGGACGAGCUCGUGCCGGUUCGCUCAACCACCAAGGCCAAGAAGAAGAAAGCGGCUUCUGCCUCCAGCUCGCAGCCUGCCGCACCUACCGGUCUCAUUUUGUCCAUGGCCAACCCCACCAACCGGGGCCGUCGUACGAUCAGCUAUCAGUCCAUGGAUCCCUCUGAGUAUGCAGCUUUAAGGAGUGAAGUCAACCAAUUUGCUGCCCCGGCCAAUGCAACCGACCCUAGGUUUCGCAAUUUGGUUCAACAGGACAUCUAUCAAUCGGUCAUUGCUCAUCUAGGUUUGUCUCCUCAACAUUAUGUGAACUUGGAUUACAUUGCAAACAAUCCAACCAAGUUUGAUGGUGUGUUAGAGAAGAUUGAUGGCAUGGGGCUGCGUUGUGCUAUGACUCUCCACUGUGAUUGGAAUGAGGCUGCCAUUCGGCAAUUCUAUGCCACAUGUUUCUUCCAUCCGGAUCGUUUGAUCACUUGGAUGACUCAUCAUUCUCAGUUCACUGUCUCUUUUGAGGAGUUUGCUGCUGCCUUGGGCAUGCCUGGUUCUGAGGCAGGUCUUUUUCGAAUCCAUGAGGUGAAUCCCAAGUUUGAGGCUAUGCCUAUCAGUGCUUGCAGUUGUCUCACCAUCCCUCCUACUCAGCUAUCCACAGUGCAGCAAAGCAAGGACCUUAAUGACAUCAGUAUCUUCCGUCUGAAAUACUGAUGGCUUUUUCAGUGCAUCCUCAACUCCAUUGCUCCCAAGAAAGGGGAUCGUGGGAUGGUACGAGCUUAUAGCAUUGAUUUGAUGUACCAUUCACGGAAGAAUCCCACUCGUCCCAUUGACAUGGCAGAUUUUCUUUGGCAUGAGAUUCGCAUGGCUAGUUGUCUGAAGGUUCGUACUCUUCCACAUACUCCUUUCAUUCAGACCGUCAUUGAUUCUGUCUUCACUUGCCCCAUCAACAAGAACAACAUUCACUCCAUGUGGACUCCGCAUGAUGACACUUCUAGGGGCAAGGAUCCUGCUCCGUUGUAUGGUGAGAGCUCUUAGGGCUCGUCGUGAGGAGGUUUGCCGCAUCUCCGAGGCAAAUGCUCUUAGGGCUCGUCUUCGUGCGCGUCCUGGCAGUCCUGUUGAGCCUGAUGAGCCUAUUCCUGCUCGACUUCCUCUUCCGGAGGUUGAUUUUCCUUCUGCCACUGAGUUCCCCGAGUUCUUCCUUGUACCUGAGUGAUGGUGGUGAUGAUGAUGAUGCUGAGGAUGAGGAUGAUGUGUGAUUCUCCUACUUUCUCGGUCGUCUUUCCCUUUUUCGGUACUUGCUGUCAAGGGGGAGAUGUAAUUCUUAGGAGUUUCAGUGUGUGUCUGGUAUGCUUAUGCUUAGAGCUUUAGUGGACUCAUUAUUAUUAUUGUAAUGGUACUAUGGUACUUUGGUCAUGAGUUAUGAGUCUAUGUGAAGUGCUUAAUUAUGCUUUUUUUAUUCAUUACUCGUGAUGAUUUUAACGAUGUAUGCCUGUACUAUACUACGAAUGUGGGCAUCCACUUCAUAUGUGCAUGACUUUGUAUGUGUAUCAUUUUAUUCCAUGCAUACAUUAAGGGAGAGCUUAUCUUAAAACACAUUCAUAUACAUAAAUUAAGGGGGAGCUCUUCCUAAAACACAUACCGGUCUACUCUCCUAGAAUUAUUCGUAUCACAUUUUAACUAUAAAAUGCUAUAUGUAGUUUGUCAUCAACUACCAAAAAAGGGGGAGAUUGAAAGUGCAAUCUUGCUCUUAAAAAUUAUUUUUGAUAUUGAUGACAAACUUACAUAUAGGGGACUAACCUUGUUUGCUAAGUAUAUACACAGGCCGUCUGUCCUUUGGGUUUCUUUAGUAAGCAUCAUGAUCACAUCAUAUGAGAUUUUACUCAAGCUAAUUAUCAAUGAGGAAAGGAGCAAACCAAGAUGAAGUAUUGUGCUCUUUUCGUAUUUCUUGAGUAAUAGGAACCCCGCACUAUUAAGAGGGGAUCCGAAGUGUAGGGUCUAGACUUGCUCACUUUUUUGUCUCUUAAACAACUCUACCACAAUAGACUAAAAAACCCUAGCAAUAUCACUUAGCCAAAACAUACCACCAUAUCCUAGCCGGAUCAUCCGGAUGGAUACCCAGAUCAUCCGGGCUUUACUCGGAUCAGCCGGACCCUGCACCGGAUCAUCCGGAUAAUUGGUGCCCUUCUUUACAGAACGGGAUGGCUGAAGUCGGAUCAUCCGGACGUUCCUCCGGAUCAUCCGGGCUGUUGCCCGGAUCGUCCGGAUCCUCCUCCGGAUCGUCCGGAUACCCGUGCCCAUUUUUCACAGAAGCGAUUUGAUUGUAGCCGGAUCGUCCGGCCAGCCAUCCGGAUCAUCCGGGGCAUGUCCGGAUCAUCCGGGCUUGCCUCUGGAUUAUCCGGGCUGCUCGCAACUAGGCUGAAACCACCUGCAUCCGGGCCUUCUGCCAGAUCAUCCGGACAAAGGUCCGGAUCAUCCGGAUGGUGUCCCAGAUCAUCCGGGGUGGUCAACUUAUGUCCAAACAGCUCUAUUCUAGACACUGGUAUAUAUAGCACCUUACCCCUUCGGGAUAAGGUUGAACACUACACACAAACACGCCUCAAGAACACCAGUGCUUUCCCUCUCUUGCUCACACACUAAAUCCCAGAUCCCGGUUUGAUUCUUGAGAGUUUCGAAGAGUUGUUCCAAUCAAAAGAAAGAUCUCCUUCCUCCCCUUCUUGUGACCAAAGCAAAUCGAAGUUUGAGCAAGUCUUGAGUCUUUCCCCUCGGAUCUUGUUACUCUUGGAGGUUGGAGACUCCUAGGCGGUAGGAGUCAUUCGGUGAGGAAUCAACGAUUGUGAUUACCCCCGGAAAGUUUGUGAGGGUUUGGAGACCAC